Molecule: long non-coding RNA, 1594 nt
Filed under: Equus asinus (donkey)
Lineage: Eukaryota; Metazoa; Chordata; Mammalia; Perissodactyla; Equidae
Description: lncRNA (ENSEASG00005032811.1)
Source: RNAcentral
AGACCCUCACUAGGUCCAGAAAUGGAUAAAGUAGGGCUCCCAGUUGUCCUUUGGGGUAUGCCUGGAGGCUUGGGGUAGGAGGUUCUUGGGAGGCAUUCUGUGGACAGAUCCCAGCUUCAGCCCCGGCCACGGGGGUCUUGCUCGCAUAAGAAGACACAGCUCCUGGUUUAGGCACAUGGCAAGACCCACUCUUGGAGCACCUUCCCAAACUGGCAGAACCUAGGGCUCUGGGCCAGCCUCUCUCUCCCAUUUGCCUUCUCUUUCCACCUUGUAGUCCAGGAACAGUGGACUUUUAUUCAUUACGAAUGAAAACACUUACAGGAUUUUCAACAUUUCCAAAAAACUUUCUAUUGUCUUCAUUGGAUGGCAGAGUGAGUUAGGUCAGAUAGAUACAAUGUUCCCAUUUAACAGAGAGGAGAAAUAAAGGUCCACCGUCACACAAGGUCAAGGGCAGACCUAAAAUCCAGAAGGACUGACUCUCCUGCUCCCAACUUCUUUCUGGCAGACAGGGCCUGGCCGCAGGUAGCUGGCCUUACCUGACCCCUGGAGCCAGCCCACCCUGCCAGGGUCGCCACACCACUGUCUGAAGAUACCUAACACCUGCCAAAGGGCUCAAAUCAUAAGACAUCCUUUAGAAAAGGAAAUGAAUGUCUCCCAAAGGCUUAAUACCAGAGACUAUUAGAGAUUUUCUGAUCCUUUCAUUUUACAUGUGAGGGAGGUGAAGUAACUGUCCAAGGCCACACAGCCAGGCAGAGCCGGGAUUUGCCAUCCAGUAGCACCCAGGUACUGGAUGGUGAGCUCUCCGUCUCAGGGUGAGCCCAGCCCUUGCCCGUCUCUCCUGCAGAGUGUGGGUAGGGCCGGGUGGAUGGCGUUUCGCUGCCCGUCAGAUUGGAGCGUAUGGAGGGAGUUAGGCAAGAGGCGACUUUGCACUCCUCUCUCUCCUCACAUGCAUCGGCAGAGACGUGUGAAGGGUUUUCAGCCAGAAGACUGUAAGUGCUUCCAGUGCCCUGCAAUGAGCCUUGCCCGCUCCAGGCAGAGCCUGCCCAGACAAUGCUGGGCCGUGGGGACCAGGAGGAGGAGGAGACACCGUGGCUUCUACCCCACAAGCUGGACACCCCACAGCCGGGGCCUGAAUUUGAGGUCCCCACUGCAGCCUCUGUGUCAUUGGUUCCUAUAUUACCCUGCACUCAAAGCUCUGAGACAUCAUGGGCAAGGCGCUGGAAUGGGAGUCCGGAGCCUGGGUCCAGCCUGGGACCAACUCCCAGGAUGCCGUGGGCAAGUCUCCCACACCCUCUGGGUGUUGUGGCCCACUCCAUGAAGCGAGGGGGUUGGGUGUUGGACCAGAUCAUCUCAAAGGUCCUCCAGCUCUGCCACACCAUGCCCUGCCCUUUAACCGUGGGUCACAAAUUUGUGAUGCUCUUCCAUUGCCUGCCUAAUAAAUUCUGGCUCCAUAACCUGGAAUUCAUUGUCUUCCUCUAGUGGUAAUGAAAACUAUGAGACUGGAAAAGAUGCUUGAGGGCGAAGGCGUAGCUAGCCUCCUGGGGAGCCUCAGAACAGGAGAUUCUCAUCUGCUCCACUGGUCAGCAAAAUUCUG